GGGACAAUGUCGCUGUGAGAAUGGGAUUACAGAAGGGGUAGGAAAAUGAGGUUUAGCAACAAUAUGGGAGAAGCAUAAAAACAGACCACUUGACAGUAGCCUAAUGUAUGUCGUCAGGGCAAAAGGUCACCAAAAAGCUUACGAACUGUCUGGUGAUGUUAUUAGAAGUCAAAUGUCUACAGUGAGGAAGGUGACAGCCCCUUUCUGCUCAGCUUUGCUCUUAUAUUUCUGGGGGUUCUGUGUUCAGUUCUGGGCCCUACACUUUCAGAAAAACAUUGGAAACCUGGACCAUGACACCAGGAAACAUGGCCACCGGGACUCAGGAUGGGGAGAUGUUUGGAAACCGCAUCCUGGCCGCUCAUCUGUUUGCACCAUGACUGUGUUUCGAGACUUUCCUCUGAGCCACGUCGUGCUAGGAGCUGGAAACACAAAUAUGAGCCACCCCAGGCCCCCGUCCUUGGGGUAAGGACAGUGGAAAGAACUGGAUGUCUGCAUAUCCCCGAGGGGCCAUCCUGGGCCAGAAGGAUGGAGUCUGUGGGUUUGCUCUCAGCCCAAGAAAAAUAUUGCCCCUGGAAUCUCCAGACGAUGGCAUGGGCUGCGGAAUCAUCCGGCGUCCAUGGCCACAAACACGCUGAAGAAUCUUCAAGAGGAUAAGAAGCCAGGAUUUGAGGAUCACAGCCAGAAAAAAAAAAGCCCCAAAUUAGGCCAAAGCCCCAGCCUGAGGGAGACUUCACUGGUCACACCGUGGGGCCCCAAGGCCAGAGCUCAAUGCUGACACCGAGGGACAUUGACACCCAGACCUUCGUCCCUGCUGCCUUGGGACACUCGUGUAGAGGCUGCCACACUCCAGCCAGGACGGCACAGGGCUAGCCACACAACACCCCUGGCUGCAGAGCAAGUGGGGCCAGUAUGGACUCUGCUAGUGGGAGGAGGGGGACUCAUGCGACAAGGGUGUUGGAAGGCACUGGGCAGCUAAAAGGAGAGUCCCCUGUGCACUGUGGCCACCAAGGAUCAGGGGCUUCUGGAGCACGCGGCUCUGUGCUCAGCACUUUACAGGGACCGUGUCUGUUGAUCAUCUCAGCUCUCUGGAGUGCGUGCUGUGCUUAUCAAUCCCCAUUUUACAGAUGAGAAAAGGGAGGCUCGGAGGACCUGAGUCGUUUGCCCUGAGCUUCUAACCGCUCCCCAGAGCUGGGCCCGGUAGGGCAGGGGGACUCACCAUGUGCUUGGAAGCUGAUCCAGGCAUCUGAGCUCUAGGUACCACUGGUCCUGGGACCUCUAGGAUUCCAGACCAACCUGCCACAGUGAUGCUAGAAGUGAUACCCCGUCUCCCAACCAAGCACCUGCUGCUCUCUGGACUCUGCGCAGAAGCCAUCUCAGAGAGCUCUUCCUGGACCAAACAGCCCCUACCCCUCUACCUUUGCCCGAGUCACUUGUCUUCCCAGUGCUUUGUGUGACAGGACCUGGCACAUCUUCCUACUUGUCUGUGAUCUGUCGGCACAGAGGGAUGUGAGCCGCAUGAGGGCAGGUCUUGGUCUGGCUCCCUGUUGGGUCUCAGCCCUUAGCACAGUGCCUGGCACAUAGCAGGGGCUCAGGAAGUCUCUGCAGACCUACUGGCUGUAAGCCUUUGGGCAAUUUCUUAACCUCUCUGUGCCAGUGUCCUCCUUUAUAAAAUGGGCAUAAUCCUUCACUCUGUCUCCAAAUGUGGUUGUGAGGACUCCACAAAUUCAUGCGGUAUCACAGCCAAGCGGACCUUUUAAUGAGCCCCUUCCGUGCACCAGGCCAGCGGGGUUUCACUGCAGGACCUUGACCGUUAGGGAAUCAGAGAGGAGAGGCUCCCUGGGGCUGGAAGUGCCAAGAGGUGCCCUGGAAGACGGCGGACUCGGAGUUAACAAUGGCUGAUGUUACUGAGCACUGACUGCGUUCAAACCAGCGUCCUAAACACCUCACCCAUUUCCCACCUGCGCCAGGAGGAGGCCUGGAUAAAACACGCUGGAGAACCAGGGCAGAGUAAGUGAUGCUUCCCAGAGAAAGAGCCCCAUCGGCGUGGACCGGAUGCAUUUGCAGCCACUCUCCUCCUUGGAAUUCAUACAGAAUUCCAUUAUCGGUUCUGGACAGCAGCUCAGGGACCAUCUUGUCCCAUGCCCAUUUGACAGAUGAGAAAGCUGGAGCCCAGCAGGGGAGCAGAGGGAGCCGAGCCAGGGCUAGAAUCAGGCUCCUGACUCCCAGAGCAGUGCUCCUUCCUAACACCAUGGAGUGAAUCCUGCAAGUAUGAUGCCCCAUCCUCUCUUUACAAAUGUGCAGAGGGAGGUUCAGGGCAGCCCUGCCAGCCACCUAGGGUCACAUAGCACCAAGAUUCACACCAAGACACUGGUAGCUACCCUCCUUCGUGAUGGGCAGGGCAGGGUUGACAUCUGGAGGACACUCGAGCAGUCUAGGAAGGGCAGAGAGGGCUGAGUCUGCAGCCUCCACCAGCUACACGCAUUAUGCCAAGCCUAGGGCUCCUGAGGGAGGCGGGCAGUGGGCCACAAGAAUAUGGGACACUCCCUAGGGCCUCUGUGCAGCAACCAUGUGGCCUUGAGCCAGUCAUUUCACCCUCAUUCGUAGAACAGGCCAAUAACAGAGCCUUCUCCCAUGAGGCCAUGCUGAGGCUUAGAUGGGUGAAGACAAGUAAAUAAAAACAGUCCAUCUUUAGGGGCCAGCCCGGUGGCAUAGUGGUUAAGUUCAUGAGCUCUGCUUCAGCAGCCUAGGUUCCUGGAUUCAGAUCCUGGGUGCAGAUUUACACCCCUCAUCAGCCACGCUAUAGUGGUGACCCACAUACAAAACAGAGGAAGAUUUGCACAGAUGUUAGCUCAGCUACAAUCUUCCUGAAGCAAAAAGAGAAAGAUUGGCAACAGAUGUUAGCUCAGGGCCAAUCUUCCCCCCACCCCACACAAAAACAGUUGACCUUUAUCAAGUCAAGCCACUGUGUGUCAGGCACUGCUCUAAGCAUUUACAGGUAAUUAUCAUCUAAUCAUCACCCCAACCUAUUAACAUCCCCAUUUCACAGAUGAGGACACAGAGGCACAGAGAAUCACACAGCUGGGAAAUGGCAGAGCACGGACUUGAACUGAAAACAGGCUGACCCUAAAUCUAUCUAUCUGAGCCCCUGGCAAGGCCAGCUCUGUGAAGGGUAAGUGUUCAGGACAGUGCCAGGCACACGGAGCUGCUCAGUAAUGCUGCUGUUGAUACAAUAAUAAUUGCUGUUGUCAUUGGGGAAGUUUGUCACCGGUAAUGCUAUCAUCCCCAAAGUCAGAAGAAUAAACCUCC
Long non-coding RNA from Equus caballus (horse), 3306 nucleotides. Lineage: Eukaryota; Metazoa; Chordata; Mammalia; Perissodactyla; Equidae. The record is from Ensembl.